AAUAUUGGACAAUGGGCGAAACCCUGAUCCUGCCAUCCCGCGUGUAUGAUGAAGGCGUUCGGGUUGUAAAGUACUUUUGGCAGAGAAGAAAAGAUAUCUCCUAAUACGAGAUACUGCUGACGGUAUCUGCAGAAUAAGCACCGGCUAACUACGUGCCAGCAGCCGCGGUAAUACGUAGGGUGCAAGAGUUAAUCGGAAUUACUGGGCGUAAAGCGUGUGUAGGAGGAUCAGAAAGAAAGAUGUGGAAUCCCAGGGCUCAACCUUGGAACUGCAUUUUUAACUGCCGAGCUAGAGUAUGUCAGAGGGGGGUAGAAUUCCACGGGUAACAGUGAAAUGCGUAGAUAUGUGGAGGAAUAUCGAUGGCGAAGGCAGCCCCCUGGGAUAAUACUGACGCUCAGACACGAAAGCGUGGGGAGCAAACAG
This 423-nucleotide ribosomal RNA is filed under the name uncultured bacterium. RNAcentral's name for it is "partial 16S ribosomal RNA". It matches the Rfam family "Bacterial small subunit ribosomal RNA", at positions 360 to 775 of the family's 1533-position model. The record is from RNAcentral.